Rosa rugosa (rugosa rose) is the source of this 936-nucleotide long non-coding RNA. RefSeq lists it as uncharacterized. NCBI's taxonomy places the organism in Eukaryota, Viridiplantae, Streptophyta, Magnoliopsida, Rosales, Rosaceae. The transcript has 3 exons. The record is from RefSeq and is a predicted model, not a curated record.
UCAGAAAAAUUCUCUCCAUUCUCUAGUCUUCAGAAGCUCUGCGUCUCAACCAAGGAGGAUAAGAAGUCAUGCAAUACAUCAAGAUCCUACCCGCCAUCCAUCCUUGUGUCGUCCCUAGAAGAUUGCUUGCUUUCAAGGAUCUUCAAGUUCUUCGUCUCAAGGCUUGUCAUCCAUCUUUCACGGUGUGUACCCUCAAUCCCCGGUUAGAACGAUCCCUACUUAUUCUAUACUAACAACUACAUGCAGGGUUAAAUUGCGCGCUUACUUUUAGCGUAUCAUUCCAUCUCUCAGUUUCCAUCUCGUGGUGGUUCUAUUCUUGGUCUAGCUCCAUCUCCUCGACCUCCCUCUACCUAUGAUUUUCGCAGCCCAUGCCAAAUCUGCAACCGCAACGGUCAUACAGCCAUCGAUUGCUUCCAUCGACUCAACAUGGCUUAUGAAGGUCGAACACCAAGCACCCGUCUUUCUGCCAUGGCUGCGGGUACAACCUCUUCCCAUGAUCCCUCUGCUUGGCUUCUAGACACAGGAUCAAAUACCCACAUCACCAAUAAUCCUUAUACAUUAACACAUCCUCGAGAAUACCAUGGUUCUGACACGGUUGGUAGCGUUGUCUCCGGUCAAGGACCUGAGCUCAGGGAUGACGCUUUUGGAGGGUCAGAGUAAUAAUGGAUUCUAUCUCGUCAAUCGAUCAUGGUUCAUCAUCAUCCAAUAAAUCGAGUCUUUUUCAUUCCUUUGCAGCAAAUAAAGUUUAUGCGGAUGUGUGGCACUAUCGUUUAGGACAUCCAUCAUCUCAAAUCCUUCGUUGUCUUGGAUAUAGGAUCUCAUUGUUAGACAAUAAUCAUUCAUCCCAAUGUCAUUCUUGUCCGUUGGGAAAAUCCACUAAAUUGCCAUUUAAUUUAUCUGAGUCUGUUACUACAUUUCCUUUUGAAUUAAUACAUA